RNAcentral lists this ribosomal RNA (406 nucleotides) under uncultured bacterium. RNAcentral describes it as "partial 16S ribosomal RNA". It matches the Rfam family "Bacterial small subunit ribosomal RNA", at positions 30 to 526 of the family's 1533-position model. The record is from RNAcentral.
AUUGAACGCUGGCGGCAGGCCUAACACAUGCAAGUCGAACGAGUGGCGGACGGGUGCGUAAUGUCUGGUAAACUGCCCGAUGGAGGGGGAUAACUACUGGAAACGGUAGCUAAUACCGCAUACCAUCGGAUGUGCCCAGAUGGGAUUAGCUUGUAGGUUAGGUAACGGCUCACCUAGGCGACGAUCCCUAGCUGGUCUGCGAGGAUGACCAGCAACACUGGAAAUGAGACACGGUCCAGACGCCUACGGGAGGCAGCAGUAGGGAAUAUUUCAAAAUGGGCGCAAGCCUGAUGCAGCCAUGCCGCGUGUGUGAAGAGGGCCUUCGGGUUGUAAAGCACUUUCAGCGGGGAGGCGUUACCCGCAGAAGAAGCACCGGCUAACUCCGUGCCAGCAGCCGCGGUAAUAC